UGUGGUGGCGAUAGCGAGAAGGAUACACCUGUAACCUGUAACCAUGCCGAACACAGAAGUUAAGCUUCUUAGCGCCGAUUGUAGUGAAGGGUUUCCCUUUGUGAGAGUAGGACGUCGCCACGC
This 123-nucleotide ribosomal RNA is filed under the name Enterococcus gallinarum. The record is from RNAcentral. Lineage: Bacteria; Bacillati; Bacillota; Bacilli; Lactobacillales; Enterococcaceae.